This 205-nucleotide ribosomal RNA is filed under the name uncultured bacterium. RNAcentral describes it as "partial 16S ribosomal RNA". It matches the Rfam family "Bacterial small subunit ribosomal RNA", at positions 568 to 773 of the family's 1533-position model. The record is from RNAcentral.
AGCGCAGGCGGGAAGACAAGUUGGGAGUGAAAUCUAUGGGCUCAACCCAUAAACUGCUUUCAAAACUGUUUUUCUUGAGUAGUGCAGAGGUAGGCGGAAUUCCCGGUGUAGCGGUGGAAUGCGUAGAUAUCGGGAGGAACACCAGUGGCGAGGGCGGCCUACUGGGCACCAACUGACGCUGAGGCUCGAAAGUGUGGUAGCAACA